RNAcentral lists this ribosomal RNA (253 nucleotides) under uncultured bacterium. Its description in RNAcentral is "partial 16S ribosomal RNA". It matches the Rfam family "Bacterial small subunit ribosomal RNA", at positions 524 to 776 of the family's 1533-position model. The record is from RNAcentral.
UACGUAGGGUGCAAGCGUUGUCCGGAAUUAUUGGGCGUAAAGGGCUCGUAGGCGGUCCAUCACGUCGGGAGUGAAAAGCUGGGGCUUAACCCCAGUCCUGCUUCCGAUACGGGUGGACUAGAGGUAGGCAGGGGAGAACGGAAUUCCCGGUGUAGUGGUGAAAUGCGUAGAGAUCGGGAGGAACACCCGUGGCGAAGGCGGCCACCUGGGCCGACCCUGACGCUGAGGCGCGAAGGCGUGGGGAGCGAACGGG